This 2288-nucleotide ribosomal RNA is filed under the name human gut metagenome. RNAcentral describes it as "bacterial LSU rRNA". It matches the Rfam family "Bacterial large subunit ribosomal RNA", at positions 3 to 2316 of the family's 2925-position model. The record is from RNAcentral.
UUAAGUUAAUAAGGGCGCACGGUGGAUGCCUUGGCACUAGAAGCCGAUGAAGGACGUGACUAACGACGAAAUGCUUUGGGGAGCUGUAAGUGAGCAAUGAUCCAGAGAUGUCCGAAUGGGGGAACCCGGCAGGUAAUGCCUGUCACUCAUUACUGUUAAGGUAAUGUAGAGGAAGACGCAGUGAACUGAAACAUCUAAGUAGCUGCAGGAAGAGAAAGCAAAAGCGAUUGCCUUAGUAGCGGCGAGCGAAACGGCAAGAGGGCAAACCGAAGAGUUUACUCUUCGGGGUUGUAGGACUGCAACGUGGACUUAAAGAUUAUAGAAGAACUACCUGGGAAGGUAGGCCAAAGAGAGUAAUAGCCUCGUAUUCGAAAUAGUCUUUAUACCUAGCAGUAUCCUGAGUACGGCGAGACACGAGAAAUCUCGUCGGAAUCUGGGAGGACCAUCUCCCAACCCUAAAUACUCUCUAGUGACCGAUAGUGAACCAGUACCGUGAGGGAAAGGUGAAAAGCACCCCGGGAGGGGAGUGAAAUAGAACCUGAAACCGUGUGCCUACAACAAGUUCGAGCCCGUUAAUGGGUGAGAGCGUGCCUUUUGUAGAAUGAACCGGCGAGUUACGAUAUGAUGCGAGGUUAAGUUGAAGAGACGGAGCCGUAGGGAAACCGAGUCUUAAUAGGGCGCAUUAGUAUCAUGUCGUAGACCCGAAACCAUGUGACCUACCCAUGAGCAGGUUGAAGGUGAGGUAAAACUCACUGGAGGACCGAACCAGGGCACGUUGAAAAGUGCUUGGAUGACUUGUGGGUAGCGGAGAAAUUCCAAACGAACUUGGAGAUAGCUGGUUCUCUCCGAAAUAGCUUUAGGGCUAGCGUCGAUGUUAAGUCUCUUGGAGGUAGAGCACUGUUUGGGUGAGGGGUCCAUCCCGGAUUACCAAUCUCAGAUAAACUCCGAAUGCCAACGAGAUAUAAUCGGCAGUCAGACUGCGAGUGCUAAGAUCCGUAGUCGAAAGGGAAACAGCCCAGACCACCAGCUAAGGUCCCAAAAUAUAUGUUAAGUGGAAAAGGAUGUGGGGUUGCACAGACAACUAGGAUGUUAGCUUAGAAGCAGCUAUUCAUUCAAAGAGUGCGUAAUAGCUCACUAGUCGAGUGACCCUGCGCCGAAAAUGUACCGGGGCUAAAACAUAUUACCGAAGCUGUGGAUACCUUUAUAGGUAUGGUAGGAGAGCGUUCUAUGUGCGAAGAAGGUGUACCGUGAGGAGUGCUGGAGCGCAUAGAAGUGAGAAUGCCGGUAUGAGUAGCGAAAGACAGGUGAGAAUCCUGUCCACCGUAAGACUAAGGUUUCCAGGGGAAGGCUCGUCCGCCCUGGGUUAGUCGGGACCUAAGGAGAGACCGAAAGGUGUAUCCGAUGGACAACAGGUUGAUAUUCCUGUACUAGAGUAUAUAGUGAUGGAGGGACGCAGUAGGCUAACUAAACCAGACGAUUGGAAGUGUCUGGCCAAGCAGUGAGGUGUGAUAUGAGUCAAAUGCUUAUAUCUAUAACAUUGAGCUGUGAUGGGGAGCGAAGUUUAGUAGCGAAGUUAGUGAUGUCACACUGCCGAGAAAAGCUUCUAGCGUUAAUUAUACUCUACCCGUACCGCAAACCGACACAGGUAGUCGAGGCGAGUAGCCUCAGGUGAGCGAGAGAACUCUCGUUAAGGAACUCGGCAAAAUGACCCCGUAACUUCGGGAGAAGGGGCGCUGACUUAUGGUCAGCCGCAGUGAAUAGGCCCAAGCAACUGUUUAUCAAAAACACAGCUCUCUGCUAAAUCGUAAGAUGAUGUAUAGGGGGUGACGCCUGCCCGGUGCUGGAAGGUUAAGAGGAGUGCUUAGCAAUAGCGAAGGUAUGAAUUGAAGCCCCAGUAAACGGCGGCCGUAACUAUAACGGUCCUAAGGUAGCGAAAUUCCUUGUCGGGUAAGUUCCGACCCGCACGAAAGGCGUAAUGAUUUGGGCACUGUCUCAACGAGAGACUCGGUGAAAUUUUAGUACCUGUGAAGAUGCAGGUUACCCGCGACAGGACGGAAAGACCCCAUGGAGCUUUACUGCAGUUUGAUAUUGAGUAUCUGUACCACAUGUACAGGAUAGGUAGGAGCCUAUGACCUCGGGACGCCAGUUUCGAGUGAGGCGUUGUUGGGAUACUACCCUUGUGUUAUGGCUACUCUAACCCAGAUAGGUUAUCCCUAUCGGAGACAGUGUCUGACGGGCAGUUUGACUGGGGCGGUCGCCUCCUAAAAAGUAACGGAGGCGCCCAAAGG